RNAcentral lists this ribosomal RNA (207 nucleotides) under uncultured bacterium. RNAcentral describes it as "partial 16S ribosomal RNA". It matches the Rfam family "Bacterial small subunit ribosomal RNA", at positions 568 to 774 of the family's 1533-position model. The record is from RNAcentral.
UACGUAGGCGGUCUAUUAAGUCAGAUGUGAAAGCCCCGGGCUUAACCUGGGAACUGCAUUUGAUACUGGUAGACUAGAGUAUGGUAGAGGGGGGUAGAAUUCCUAGUGUAGCGGUGAAAUGCGUAGAUAUUAGGAGGAAUACCAGUGGCGAAGGCGGCCCCCUGGACCAAUACUGACGCUGAGGUACGAAAGCGUGGGUAGCGAACA